Non-coding RNA from Podospora aff. communis PSN243, 98 nucleotides. The record is from the annotation of a GenBank genome assembly. Lineage: Eukaryota; Fungi; Ascomycota; Sordariomycetes; Sordariales; Podosporaceae.
GCCCGCGUGGCGCAAUUGGUCAGCGCGCCAGACUUUUAUCUUCAAAUCCCUGAGGACAUCUUAUCUGGAUGUUGUGAGUUCGAGUCUCGCCGUGGGCA